CAGUGAGGAAUAUUGGACAAUGGGCGAAAGCCCGAUCCAGCAACGCCGCGUGGAGGAUGAAGGCCUUCGGGUCGUAAACUUCUUUAGAGGGAGACUAGAAAGGACGGUAUCCCUAGAAUAAGCGACGGCAAACUACGUGCCAGCAGCCGCGGUAACACGUAGGUCGCGAGCGUUAUCCGGAUUUACUGGGCGUAAAGCGCUUGUAGGCGGUUCUGUAAGUCGGGCGUGAAAUCUCCGGGCUUAACUCGGAGUGGCCGUUCGAUACUGCAGGGCUUGAGGAUGCUAGAGGGUGGUGGAAUUCCAGGUGUAGUGGUGAAAUGCGUAGAUAUCUGGAGGAACAUCCGUGGCGAAGGCGGCCACCUGGGGCAUUCCUGACGCUGAGAAGCGACAGCUAGGGGAUCAAACGGGAUUAGAAACCCCGGUAGUCCUAGCCGUAAACGAUGGACGCUAGGUGUUGGCAGAUCUAACCCUGUCUGCGCCGAAGCAAACGCGUUAAGCGUCCCGCCUGGGAACUACGGUCGCAAGAUUAAAACUCAAAGGAAUUGACGGGGACCCGCACAAGCAGCGGAGCGUGUGGUUUAAUUCGAUACUACACGAAGAACCUUACCCAGGUUUGACAUACUAGUGGUAGUGAACUGAAAGGGGAACGACCCGCAAGGGAGCUAGUACAGGUGUUGCAUGGCUGUCGUCAGCCCGUGUCGUGAGAUGUUGGUUUAAGUACCCUAACGAGCGCAACCCUUAUUGCCAGUUACACGUAUCUGGCGAGACUGCCGGCCACAAGCCGGAGGAAGGCGAGGAUGACGUCAAGUCAGCAUGGCCUUUAUAUCUGGGGCUACACACACGCUACAAUGGGCGUAACAAUGGGAUGCCAAGCCGUGAGGCGGAGCCAAUCCCCCAAAUACGUCCUCAGUUCAGAUUGCAGGCUGCAACCCGCCUGCAUGAAGUCGGAGUUGCUAGUAAACGCGCGUCAGCUAUAGUGCGUUGAAUACGUUCCCGGGUCUUGUACACACCGCCCGUCACACUAUGGGAGCUGGUAAUACCUGAAGCCGGUAGCCUAACCGCAAGGAAGGCGCCGUCAAAGGUAGGGCUGGUGACUGGAGUGAAGUCGUAACAAGGUAGCUGUACGGGAACGUGCGGCUGG
Molecule: ribosomal RNA, 1141 nt
Filed under: metagenome
Description: bacterial SSU rRNA
Rfam family: Bacterial small subunit ribosomal RNA
Source: RNAcentral